GAAAAAUUUUCAUCUCCUCCAUUGUUUCUCUCUCAAAAGACAAGAAGAGGAAGAAAAGAUGAGCAGAUCAGGUCAGCCUCCAGAUCUCAAAAAGUAUAUGGACAAGCAGCUUCAAAUCAAGUUGAAUGCCAACCGCCAAGUUGUAGGGACUCUUCGUGGGUUCGAUCAGUUCAUGAAUUUGGUUAUCGACAAUACUGUUGAGGUCAAUGGAAACGAUAAGAAUGAGAUUGGCAUGGUGGUAAUUCGGGGUAAUAGCGUGGUGACAAUUGAAGCUCUGGAACCGGUUGCCAGACCACAGUAAUACGAACGAAGCUCUGAUUGUUCAAGGAUCUUUAUCUAUGUUCAAGAUAUUUACUACUCUUAUCGAACCUAAGUGAAAUUAUGUAUUGUACCUGAAUUAAACUAGCUUAUCUUUGAUUUCUCUGUUGAUUCUGAAAAUGAAAAGAUCAUCGAUAUCUCUGUUCAUCUUGAGCUCAUGUUCACAAUUUCAUCUGGUGAGUUUUGUAUACAAUGACAAUGUCGGGACAUGAGUGAU
Molecule: unclassified non-coding RNA, 535 nt
Filed under: Hevea brasiliensis (rubber tree)
Lineage: Eukaryota; Viridiplantae; Streptophyta; Magnoliopsida; Malpighiales; Euphorbiaceae
Source: RNAcentral